This 456-nucleotide ribosomal RNA is filed under the name uncultured soil bacterium. Its description in RNAcentral is "bacterial SSU rRNA". It matches the Rfam family "Bacterial small subunit ribosomal RNA", at positions 26 to 518 of the family's 1533-position model. The record is from RNAcentral.
AGGAUAAACGCUGGCGGCGUGCCUUAUGCAUGCAAGUCGAACGUGAAGCCGACUUCGGUUGGUGGAAAGUGGCGAACGGGUGAGUAACACGUAGGAACCUGCCCGGAAGUGGGGGAUAACUCCGCGAAAGCGGGGCUAAUACCGCAUGUGGUCGAAAGAUUAAAGCUUCGGCGCUUCCGGAGGGGCCUGCGGCGGAUUAGCUAGUUGGUGGGUAACGCCUACAAGGCGACGAUCCGUAGCUGGUCUGAGAGGAUGGUCAGCCACACUGGAACUGAGACACGGUCCAGACUCCUACGGGAGGCAGCAGCAAGGAAUUUUGCGCAAUGGGCGAAAGCCUGACGCAGCAACGCCGCGUGGGGGAAGAAGGCCUUCGGGUGUAAACCCCUUUUGCGAGGGAAGAAGAUCUGACGGUACCUCGCGAAUAAGCCAACGGCUAAACUACGUGCCAGCAGCCGC